Molecule: non-coding RNA, 28 nt
Filed under: Mus musculus (house mouse)
Lineage: Eukaryota; Metazoa; Chordata; Mammalia; Rodentia; Muridae
Source: RNAcentral
UUUUAAAUUUGAGCUGAUCUUGGUUUAG